GAUGAAGAACGCAGUGAAUUGCGAUAUGUAAUGUGAAUUGCAGAAUUCAGUGAAUCAUCGAAUCUUUGAACGCACAUUGCGCCCGCCAGUAUUCUGGCGGGCAUGCCUGUUCGAGCGUCAUUUCAACCAUCAAGCCCCAGGCUUGUGUUGGGGACCUGCGGCUGCCGCAGGCCCUGAAAACCAGUGGCGGGCUCGCUGUCACACCGGGCGUAGUAGAUUUUAUCUCGCUCAGGGCGUGCUGCGGGUUCCGGCCGUUAAAAAGCCUUUUUUACCCAAGGUUGACCUCGGAUCAGGUAGGAAGACCCGCUGAACUUAAGCAUAUCAAUAAGCGGAGGA
RNAcentral lists this unclassified non-coding RNA (336 nucleotides) under soil metagenome. RNAcentral's name for it is "partial contains 5.8S ribosomal RNA, internal transcribed spacer 2, and large subunit ribosomal RNA". The stretch from base 1 to 120 matches the Rfam family "5.8S ribosomal RNA", at positions 35 to 154 of the family's 154-position model. The record is from RNAcentral.